This 3701-nucleotide long non-coding RNA is filed under the name Arabidopsis lyrata. RNAcentral's name for it is "long non-coding RNA (ALYR_LNC002320)". The record is from RNAcentral. Lineage: Eukaryota; Viridiplantae; Streptophyta; Magnoliopsida; Brassicales; Brassicaceae.
AUCAUUGAGACUGCUGAUUGCACUCUUAUAAUGUUGUACGCACGAGGUGUAUGCUUUCUUCAUAGUGGGGUUGGUUGCUGUCUUGACUAGGGAUUGAAUUUUCUUGAAACCUUCUGAUGCACUUGUUUGUGCAGAACCAAAGGUGAUCUUUGCUAGCGUUUGAAGAUCAGCACCUGAGGUCUUUGGGUUGGAUUUCAUGUAGCUAGUGCAGAAGGAUUGGUUUUUCGCUUUCCCACAGAUUGCUUUUAUGUCUGCUACUUGUGCAUUCAAGGCACCAAUCAUUACAAAAAACAUCAGAGAAGACACAAUAACUCUGUUCAUCAGGUAUGCUGCCAUCUUUGCUUUUUUCUUUUUUAUGUUCUUUGAUAGAUGAUUAAGUUAUUCCCUUACUAUGCCUGAGUGUUCAUAUUUAUAGAUACUCGCGAUUGAUUGCUUCCACUAGAACUAAUAAUAGAAAUUCUUGGAAUGGGUUGUUGCUCUUUCUGAUUCUUAGUUAGACCACAAGUCCUAAUAUAAGAGAGAGAAACACUUUGCUAUUCUUAGCAUUAGUGCAGAGAUUAGUUAUCUGAUUAGUAUUCUUCUAACUUACUUUCCUGACCUCUCUUCUUUAGGUAGAUUUGCAUUCACGAAUAUGUGUUCAUGAUUUUUGGCACUAAUAAAGUUUUACUGUAGGCAAAUAUUAAAGGUUAUGUGGAUAUAAUUGUCAUAAUUUACACCAGAAGUAACGAGAGAUGGAAGUUUUUUCAUUCUAAGCUAAGAUGCAAGACAUAAUAGUUGACUAAGAAUUUAUUCAUUUAUUGGUUUUUAAGUUACUACAACAGAGUGAAUGACAUUGAAGGGUUUCUGCCAUCUUGCAGGUGAAAGAUACAUAAAGAAUCAAGAAGUCAAAACGUCGGAGAAAACCCUAUCAAUGUUACACAUUCUUUUAAAAAAUGAAUUGAGUUUCGCUACAUAAUCCGGCACAUUAACCCGUCCUUCAAACUGAGCUUCACACACUGAUAUACUAAUGAAGGCUUUAGCAGCCCCUUGAGAUGCUAACGGGUACGCCUUAGAGGUCACAAACCCUUGAGCUUCCUCGAUCGCUUUAAUGGCUACUUCAUAAUCUUUCACGCAAGUCUCAAAUGGGAUCUUGAGCGUCGGAUCAGUCGUGGUUCUCACUGAGCCUUUCAUCGCCGCUAGGCUCUUAUAGCCCAACAAUUGCGUCUUUUGGAAGACCAAAUCGAGAAGACCUUGUAGGUCGAGGGUGAAUGUUGUUGGAUCAGAGUUUAGCCAAGGGAUGCAGAAGUAGCUGUCAAUGUUCGGUUUUGUGCAGAGUUGGUAAAGUAAUCCUUUUGUGACUUUGUCACUCGGAGACAAAGAUGAAGACAAAGGGGUGACUGAUAGAAGAACGAGUAGAGGAAGAAGUGAAAAUACGUUUCUUUUGACGCAAGGAUAAGCCAUUUUCUUGGCUGCGGAAAGAUAAUUAUGCGUAUACUUAGAGGUGGGAGGUUCUUAUUGCAUACUAAUAUACAUAGUUUUUGUAUGACAAAAGUCAAGCUUUAGCUUGGUGUUGUUAAUGAAAUGUUACCCAAAUUUGUUUUUCAUAGUCAAUUGUUGACUCAAAUUAAUGUGGGAACGAACAAUUCAGGGGGCUAAUUAAUCACCUUCUAUGGAAUUAUUCUUUAAUUCAAUAUAAUUGGCAAUCCACCAUUAUUAUUCAAUUGAAUAAGUUAAGAAAAAAAUCUUUGAAUUAUUAAUCAUGCCAUUUUUAAAACAAAAUAAAAUCUUACACUUUCAGGAAAUUUUUAUUUGAAAAGAUUUCAAAAUUUUGGGUUAUCUAUUUAUAUCAUAUCAUACAAAAUUCUCAAAUCGAAACAUAAGAAUUCUUUGAAUGAAUGUCCGUAUUCCGAACUUUGUUUUGUAUCUUCUUUUGAGUAUUUUUAUCGUACUAUUCAACUACCGUUUUUGUAACCUUUUAUGACAAUGGUAAAUAUCUUGAGAGCAUAAUACAUAUGAAAGGAAACGCACCAUGUCGAGGGUCAGGGCCGGCCCAGACCUAAAGCCCAGCAAGCAGAUGCUUUAGGCGUCAAAUUCUAUAUGUAUUUUAAAGGGCAUCAAAAUUAUAAAAGUGUCUUGUAGUCUAGUGGUAUUUAGGUCACUUAAGGAUAGAUUGUUGAGGGUUCGAUCCCUGGCAACUGUAAAUUUUAAUUUUUUUUUAUUUUUAGUUGUUGUAAAUGGGCAUCAAAUUUUGUUGGGCUUUAGGUAUCAUGAAUCUUUGGGCCGGCCCUGUCGAGGGUUAUCUAUAUAUAUACAAAAUUCCCAAAUCUAAACAUAAGAAUUCUCUUGCAAUUAAAGAGACUUGUUUUGUUAUCAAAUAGCUACUCUUGCAAAUUGUUGCUGUAAUUGGAAAUUAAACAUGUCUUCUUGUCAAUGAUGCAGCAAAGAGCUACUUGAGACCAAAUUGAUGUAUGCCAUAAGGGUUAGGGCCAAUCCACUCAUUGCCAAUUUGUAUUUAUAUCAUAUCAUACAAAAUUCUCAAAUCGAAACAUAAGAAUUCUUUGAAUGAAUGUCCGUAUUCCGAACUUUGUUUUGUAUCUUCUUUUGAGUAUUUUUAUCGUACUAUUCAACUACCGUUUUUGUAACCUUUUAUGACAAUGGUAAAUAUCUUGAGAGCAUAAUACAUAUGAAAGGAAACGCACCAUGUCGAGGGUUAUCUAUAUAUAUACAAAAUUCCCAAAUCUAAACAUAAGAAUUCUCUUGCAAUUAAAGAGACUUGUUUUGUUAUCAAAUAGCUACUCUUGCAAAUUGUUGCUGUAAUUGGAAAUUAAACAUGUCUUCUUGUCAAUGAUGCAGCAAAGAGCUACUUGAGACCAAAUUGAUGUAUGCCAUAAGCGCAGAAGCUGGUUUUGAUCUGGAUAACCACCCUGCAAAGGCAUGGGGAAAGCUAGCCUCCUCCCUUCAAUCUUCAAUUUCUUCGUUAGCAAAUAUGAAUACAAAUGCAGCAAAUAGCUUCCUUACUCCUGCCUUAAAUUGAGGGUGAACGUUGUUGGAUCAGAGUUAGCCAAGCGAUGCAGAAGUGGUUGUAAAUUGUUUGUUUUGACAGAGUUGGUAAAGUGACUCUUUUGUGACUUUGUUGCUCGAUGACAAAGAUGAAUACAAAUGAGUGAUUGAUAAAAGAAGGAGAAGAGGAAGAAUUGAAAAUACGUUUCUUUUCACGCAAGGAAAAGCCAUUGUCUUGGAUGUGGCGAAUAAUUAUGCGUAUACAUUAGAUGUGGGAAGUGCAUUCACAAAUAUGUGUUCAUGAUUUUUGGCACUAAGAAAGUUUUAGUGUAGGCAAAUAUUAAAGGUUAUGUGGAUAUAAUUGUCAUAAAUUUACACCAGAAGUAACCAGAGAUGAAAGUUUUUUUCAUUCUUAGCUAAGAUAUACUCCAACAGUUGACUAAAAUAUUUAUUCAUUUAUUGGUUUUUAAGUCAAAGCGUUGGAGAAAACCCUAUCAAUGUUACACAUUCUUUUAAAAAACAAAUUGAGUUUCACUACAUAAGCCGGCACAUCAGCCCGUCCUUCAAACUGAGCUUCACACACUGAUAUACUAAUGAAGGCUUUAGCAGCCCCUUGAGAUGCUAACGCGUACGCCUUAGAGGUCAGAAACCCUUGAGCUUCCUCGAUCGAUUUAAUGGCUGAUUCAUAAUCUUUCACGCAAGUCUCAAAUGGGAUCUUGAGC